GCCCAAGAGAUCGGGAUAACACCUGGAAACAGAUGCUAAUACCGGAUAACAACAGAUGAUGCCUAUCAACUGUUUAAAAGAUGGUUCUGCUAUCACUCUUGGAUGGACCUGCGGUGCAUUAGCUAGUUGGUAGGGUAACGGCCUACCAAGGCGAUGAUGCAUAGCCGAGUUGAGAGACUGAUCGGCCACAUUGGUACUGAGACACGGCCCAAACUCCUACGGGAGGCAGCAGAC
This 234-nucleotide ribosomal RNA is filed under the name uncultured Lactobacillus sp. Its description in RNAcentral is "partial 16S ribosomal RNA". It matches the Rfam family "Bacterial small subunit ribosomal RNA", at positions 128 to 354 of the family's 1533-position model. Lineage: Bacteria; Bacillati; Bacillota; Bacilli; Lactobacillales; Lactobacillaceae. The record is from RNAcentral.